UCAGCAGCCCGCGGUAAUUCCAGCUCUGUAAGCGUAUACCAAAGUUGUUGCAGUUAAAACGCUCGUAGUCGGAGGUUGGCGGGCGACCUGGGGCGUCUUCACGGACGGAUCCAGGGCGGCCGCCUUUGUGGAGGGGGGCCCGGUGGAGCUUCACUGCGUCACCGUGGUCGCUGCCACCGUUUACUGUGAAAAAAUUAGAGUGUUCAAAGCGGGCGUUUGCCAUGAAUACAUUAGCAUGGAAUAAUAGAAUAGGACCUGUUUCCUGUUUUGUUGGUUUGUGAGGAACGGGUAAUGAUUAAGAGGGACGGUUGGGGGCAUUUGUAUUCCGGCGUCAGAGGUGAAAUUCUUGGAUUGGCGGAAGACAAACAGCUGCGAAAGCGUCUGCCAAGGACGUUUUCAUUGAUCAAGAACGAAAGUAAGGGGAUCGAAGACGAUCAGAUACCGUCGUAGUCUUUACUAUAAACGAUGAGGACUGGGGAUCGGGCAGGACUGUAUUUUGGCCUGCCCGGCACCCUUCGGGAAACCAAAGUGUUUGCUUUCUGGGGGGAGUAUGGUCGCAAGGCUGAAACUUAAAGGAAUUGACGGAAGGGCAUCACCGGGUGUGGAGCCUGCGGCUUAAUUUGACUC
Molecule: ribosomal RNA, 627 nt
Filed under: Meridionella obtusangula
Lineage: Eukaryota; Rhodophyta; Florideophyceae; Gigartinales; Cystocloniaceae
Description: SSU rRNA
Rfam family: Eukaryotic small subunit ribosomal RNA
Source: RNAcentral